Long non-coding RNA from Mya arenaria, 209 nucleotides. RefSeq lists it as uncharacterized. The record is from RefSeq and is a predicted model, not a curated record. Lineage: Eukaryota; Metazoa; Mollusca; Bivalvia; Myida; Myidae. The transcript has 2 exons.
AACUUCCAAUGGAAUGACCACGAGUGUCAAUGGCCUGUCAACUCCAUCUGCGAAAUGAAUCGUCAAAGCAGCGAAGUGAUUGUGGGAUAAGUUUUGCUGGAGCAGGAACUAGCAGAAUACGGAAACCAGAAUAGCUAUCAAGUGUUCCGCCGUCAAUAUUUACGUUUGUAAAUACGCGUUUAUGGAAAUAUAUUUAUGAGAAACUAGAA